AUAUUGCACAAUGGGCGCAAGCCUGAUGCAGCCAUGCCGCGUGUGUGAAGAAGGCCUUCGGGUUGUAAAGCACUUUCAGCGGGGAGGAAGGCGGUGAGGUUAAUAACCUCAUCGAUUGACGUUACCCGCAGAAGAAGCACCGGCUAACUCCGUGCCAGCAGCCGCGGUAAUACGGAGGGUGCAAGCGUUAAUCGGAAUUACUGGGCGUAAAGCGCACGCAGGC
RNAcentral lists this ribosomal RNA (223 nucleotides) under Klebsiella pneumoniae. RNAcentral describes it as "partial 16S ribosomal RNA". It matches the Rfam family "Bacterial small subunit ribosomal RNA", at positions 361 to 576 of the family's 1533-position model. The record is from RNAcentral. RNAcentral also lists the same sequence under 2 other names. Lineage: Bacteria; Pseudomonadati; Pseudomonadota; Gammaproteobacteria; Enterobacterales; Enterobacteriaceae.